RNAcentral lists this ribosomal RNA (355 nucleotides) under Amylomyces rouxii. Its description in RNAcentral is "SSU rRNA". It matches the Rfam family "Eukaryotic small subunit ribosomal RNA", at positions 20 to 370 of the family's 1831-position model. Lineage: Eukaryota; Fungi; Mucoromycota; Mucoromycetes; Mucorales; Mucoraceae. The record is from RNAcentral.
GUAGUCAUAUGCUUGUCUCAAAGAUUAAGCCAUGCAUGUCUAAGUAUAAAUAAAUUUAUAUUGUGAAACUGCGAAUGGCUCAUUAAAUCAGUUAUGAUCUACGUGACAUAUUCAUUACUACUUGGAUAACCGUGGUAAUUCUAGAGCUAAUACAAGCAAAAAAACCCAAACUUACGAAUGGGUGCACUUAUUAGAUAAAGCCAACGCUCGGUAAAACCAGUUUCCCUUGGUGAUUCAUAAUAAUUAAGCGGAUCGCAUGGCCUUGUGCUAGCGACAGUCCACUCGAUUUUCUGCCCUAUCACGGUUGAGAUUGUAAGAUAGAGGCUUACAAUGCCUACAACGGGUAACGGGGAAU